Magallana angulata is the source of this 1889-nucleotide long non-coding RNA. RefSeq lists it as uncharacterized. NCBI's taxonomy places the organism in Eukaryota, Metazoa, Mollusca, Bivalvia, Ostreida, Ostreidae. The transcript has 4 exons. The record is from RefSeq and is a predicted model, not a curated record.
UUCAUUUUGGUCUAAAUUUUCCGUGAGGAUGAGGUGAUAAUUUUUCUAUUUCCCUGUUUCUGUUGGCUUUAGUUGUUCUUUGCAUUACCUGUGGAUGAAGAACACGUCAUUACACGUCCAUCCUUCAGUAUUCAGAAGAUCAACAGGAUUAGGGGCCCGCCAAGUCAAUCAGGUGAACGGCAGAGUGCUGUCGGUUCUUGGUCACCCAAUUUACCGACUACCGUACAAUUGGCGACGGAACUGAAAACUUUACUAAUUCAAGAAGAGUCAGUUCACAAUUCAAUUUAUAUGAAGCCCAUUGGUGUAUGCAACAUUCUACAAACCACAGAGAUAUUGUCAAAAAAAUCUUUUUUUCAACAAUAAACAUUUAAAAUAUAGAAUAAAGGUUUUGGCUGAUUUACUGUGAAUACAUGUAUGUGCAAUUUAUAAAUUUUAUUAUGAAAAAGGGGGUAAGAAAGAGAGAAGAUGGAGAGAGUUGAAUGUAUCCGUGCUUGCAGGUUAUCGCUCCGGGUUAAGUAUCCCUGGUUUUAUAUUAUUGUCUUAAGAUAUUUUAUCAUCCGGACGCUAUGUUUAUAGCGAGGUCGUGUGGGUCACAUUUUCUGGCGGCUAGAAAUGAUAGCGGCGGUAAGAGUCAGUGACAGCAGGCUCGCCUUUCAAAGGACCAGGGAACAUUACUCGCAUAGUUCUCUCCGUCUACUAUAGCCCUACAAACACCUGAGUCUAGAGUCUGUGCCACGUUGUUUUUUCAGCAUAACAGCUGAAAACUAUAAUGUCCCAUCCCACAAGCAAGGUUAAUUCCCAAAUAUCCAGGGAAUUAGUGAAACCUACGCCAAUCGGUUUGUCAAAGUCGGCGAGCAGACGGUUCCAACGAGACAAAAAGGGUCGCACUAAUGAAAGGAAGUCAAGGGGGAGGAUCGUGUAUAAUUUGUAAUGAAAAUUAGUUCGUUUUAUUUAAUUGAAAGCAGAGGAAUAUAAUAAAUAGAUAAAACAAAUCCGGGGAGAGGCAAUCCACAUAAAAAUCCGACAUCAAGAAAACACAGGAACCUCGCCAUGUCUUUGAAACCUGUUAGACAGAGGAAUUCAAAGAAGCAGGAACCAUUCAACUCGACGCACAAAAGGACGAAAAAAGUCGAAUUAUUCAAUGUGCGUAUACUGUUAUUGUUUGCCACACAUUUUCCCUGGUCAUAAUUUUAGAAAGAAAAAAAAGGUUCGGCUUGGGUUUUUUUUUUUGCAAAGAAUUGACCACAAAAAUACUACAGUCCACGUUUAGUUAUUCUCGUUACUUAGAAAUCAAGCGAUGAAAUUUCUAUAAAGAUAAAAGAAAUGUUAAAAAUAUCAAAUAGUUCCCUCAAGUAGAGUGGUGAACUUCUUUUAAGGACUACCUGCCACUUUAAAACGUAGUCGACCGAACUGUUCAAGCUAAAAGAAAGGAGAAAGGCUUGCGGCGAUUUUGACAUCUUCUGAGGUUUUUGCCUCGAGUAACAUUCGAUCAACUCUUGAUAAAGUUUUCAAAGACUGGACACAUCCUCGGGUCUUUUCACGGCAAAAAUGUCAAAUAAUGCCCUAUUGUUUACCCACAAAGGGGUAUUUGCUAAAGUGUCCAAGCUUGUUUGGGACCCCGACAGCGUAAUCCAGGGUUCAAGUGACUUGGAAUUUAUCACGUGGUUGGUACAUAGUGGGGAUGAUCGUACUAUGGCGAACAUCACAACAAAAGCCGGGGGUUUACAGGACAAUAGAAAAUUUUUAAAAACUGUUAUUAACAUGUACGCAAGAUAAUAAUGUCUGGUUUGAAUGCUUUUGGCAAGGUUGAAUUUUGAUACACAUACACAACUAUCAAAGAACUAUUUUCUUUAGACACCCAUCAAAUUUAGAACUCGAAUUUUCUGUUC